RNAcentral lists this long non-coding RNA (3388 nucleotides) under Mus musculus (house mouse). Its description in RNAcentral is "long non-coding RNA chr4:74286146-74289534". Lineage: Eukaryota; Metazoa; Chordata; Mammalia; Rodentia; Muridae. The record is from RNAcentral.
GUAAUUGGACAGGGACUAUCCUGCCACACAUGUUUGUGUGGGUAGCUCUGCAGUAGAAUUCAAAAUCUUGGGGGGUAUGCCUAGGAAUGGUAUAGUUGGGUCAUGCAGUCAUUCUUUAUUGAUACCUUUUUGAGUAAACUCCACACUGAUUUUUAUAGUUGAUAAAACAGUUUACACAGACACUAAGAGAAAUCAGCAUUCUCUCUUCCUCCACUUGCCUGUAUUUGUUGACAUUUGGUUUCUUGAUGAUAACCAUUCUGAGUGAGAUGAAGUUAACCUCAAAGUAAUUUCUUGAUGACUAAAGAGGUGGAACUCUUUCAAAAUAUAUAUACAUUUGCAUAUCUUGAGAGCUUUUCAGUUCUAUAGCCCAUUAUUUGGAUUGUUAUCUUUGUGUGUGGGUAUAUAUGUGCACUCAUGUGUGCAUGCUCCUGUUAAUCCUAUGCCAGAAUAUAUGGCUCCUAAAUACUUUCUCAUCGUUUUGGAAAGCCUCUUUACUCUAUUAACACUUUCUGUUGCAGUAUCUAUCCUUUGAAUUUUUAUUUGUUGAUUUUUUUUAACCUAUUUCCUAAGCCACUAGAAUCCUACUCAGAAUGUCCUCAGCUAUGUCUGUAUUUCAAAAUAUUAUUUUUCUAGAACAGUGGUUCUCAAUCUUCCUAAUGCUGUGAUUCUAUAAUACAAUUCCUCAUGUUGUGGUGACCACCAACCAUAAAUUAUUUUUAUUUUUGUUGUUGUUGCUACAUCAUAACUGUAAAUUUGCUACUGUUAUGAAUCAUAAUGUAGAUAUUUGUUAUGUGGCCCUCUGAAAGGGUUGUUUGACCCCUAAAGGGUUCCAGACCCACAGGCUGAGAAUCACUGCUCUAGGAACUAUAGAGGUUCAAGUCUUUUUUUUUUUUUUUUAAAGAUUUAUUUAUUUAUUAUAUGUAAGUACAUAUAGUAAGCUAUCUUCAGACACUCCAGAAGAGGGAGUCAGAUCUUGUUACAGAUGGCUGUGAGCCACCAUGUGGUUGCUGGGAUUUGAACUCUGGACCUUCGGAAGAACAGUCGGGUGCUCUUACCCACUGAGCAAUCUCACCAGCCCGAGGUUCAAGUCUUAUGUUAUGGGUUUUGAUCUAUUUGGAGCUGCUUUUUUGUUUAUUUGUGGAUCGAGAAAAGCUGUAGUUUCCGAUUUCUGCAUGUUUGUAUCCAGCUUUCCUGAUGCCCUUUGUGAAAAGAGGCUGUCAUUCCUUUACUUAAUUCUAUUCUCUCUGUCUCUGUCUGUCUCUCUCUCUGCCUGUCUCUCUCUCUCUCCUGUCUGUCUGUCUGUCUGUCUGUCUGUCUGUCUGAGGUGAGUACAUAUGAGCAUGUGAAUUCAGAUGGUUGAAGAGCCCCGAAGUGGAUCAGAUCUCCUGCAGCUGGAGUUGCAGGCAGUUGUAACCAUUCAUUAUGGGUGCUGGAAACCAAGCCUGAGCCCACCCUCUGGGAAAACAGCAAUCACUUUGAUCCACUGCACCAUUGCUCCACCCUAGAUGCUGUCUUUACUCCUGAGUUUAGUUUUCAUGUCUUUGUCAAAAAUCAUAUAGCUGUUACUUGUUUGGGUUUUUGUCUGGUACAAUCACUUAAUUACGUUGAUUUAGUAGCCUACUUUUGCGAUAGCAUAUUUCUGCUGUUUUUAUUACUUUUGUUGUGCAAUAUAACCUGAGGUCAGAUAUACUGACAACUGUGGCAUUAUUCUGUUUGAUCAGGAUGGCUAUGGCUCUCUGAGCUUUUUUAUAUAGCCAUACAAAUUUUAACAAUAUUUUUCUCAUUCUGUGGGGCAUUGGAAUUUUUGCUUUUCCUUCUCCAGCUUAGUAUGCAUGUGGUGUGUCUUUCAUGUUUGUGCAGUCAUAUCGGUGAGAAUUUAUGGCUUCGGAUUUCACAAUAGAGACUCUGACCUUUUGAUUUUUAUAGUCCUUCUGCCCCCUCUUCAGCAAUGUUUUCUGAGCCUUAUUUGUUAUACUGUUUUGUAGACGAAACCAACUGGGACUGGUCUGCACAAAUCUGCAUUUUGGUGGUUGUGGUUUUGUAUGGUGUUUCCAUUUGUUGCAAAGAUAAGUUUCCUUAAUGACUGUUAAAGGUAACACUUAUCUGUGGGCAUGAACACAUAUGUUUAUAGAUUAUAGUUAGGGAUUAUGUUGAUUUAAUAAAUUAUUGAUUGUAGAUUCUACCCCAGUUUCCAUGAUUUUCAUUAGUACUGAGUAGUGGUUUCCAGUUUCAAGCAUGGUCUCUCUCUCUUGUUGAAUGGGUCUUAAAUAUAAUGAGAGAGCAGUUGGUUACUACCAAGUAUGUGUUCUACUACUAUGUCUGGUAUGCUGGUAAUUGAUGUAGUUCAUAGGUGACAGAGAUGGGUAGGACUGUUUCUACUUCCCUCCUUUGGAAAUUUCCCUUCUUCUGGUACUAUGAAAGCUUGUCCUUAGAGAGGGGUCAGGAUGUUCAGGUUCAUUGUAGCUCAGGGCCUCUGGCCAUGUUUCUGAAGUGUAUGAUGUCUUCAGCAGUAGGUACUUACCUUCUAUCUCUAUUUGGCAACCAAGGGCUAAAGUAAGAGUGUGUAUGUUUUGGGAGUCUCUUAGACAGCCCUGGUCAACAACACAAAAGAAGGCUUCUCAUGUUUGGCAUUGGGGUUUUUCUCAGGUAGUUUUGACCUUUGAAGGGAAUAUUAUCAGCUCAAAAGAGAAAAGCUCAUUAAUAUUAUAUAUCUAUAUUAUGUAUAUUUAUACAUUGAAUUACAUGCAUUAAGUGAUUUUUUUUCUAGGUAAGUAAUUAAUAGUAUGAUAUCUUGUGAUUUUUCUCAACCAUAUUGUUAUUUACCUACCUUCUUCCUUCUGUACUUAUCUCUAUCCCCUUUUCUUAAAGUGAUGUUCCAUCUUUCCCAUUUUCCUUAUCCAGUCACUUGUAUCAUGCAUGCCGUUCCCCUUUUGCCCCGUCUCACCUUCUUUUGUAUUUACCUACCUCUUAUUCCCCAACGAACCCUCGAUUUUCCCAUUUUCCUUACCAGAUUUCUUAUAAUGUGCUAUUUCCUUCUCUAUUGUCCCUCAGAUACAGUAUCUUGAUAGUGGUCCCAUUUUACUUUCCUGGUUUCUGUAGUUACUAUAGGGUAUGUACUCACAUUAGAAGAUUUGGAGCUGAAAACCUUCAGUAAGAGAACACAUACCACAUUUGUCUUUUGGGUCUGGAUUCCUUCCUCAAUAUGAUCUUUUCUAGUUCUAUCCAUUUGCCUGCAGUUUUUAUGAUUCUGUUUUUCUUUGCUGCUAAAUAGUAUCCCAUAGUGUAUAGGAACCACAUUUUCAUUAUCUAUUUAUUAUUUAUAGAACACUUAGGCUGUUUCCUCGUCCUAGGUGUUAUUAAACAUAACAUUCGCCUUUGAACAUGGCUG